AUUGAACGCUGGCGGCAUGCCUUACACAUGCAAGUCGAGCGGGACCUUCGGGUCUAGCGGCGGACGGGUGAGUAUCGCGUGGGAACGUGCCCUUCUCUACGGAAUAGCCUCGGGAAACUGAGAGUAAUACCGUAUACGCCCUUUGGGGGAAAGAUUUAUCGGAGAAGGAUCGGCCCGCGUUGGAUUAGGUAGUUGGUGGGGUAAUGGCCUACCAAGCCGACGAUCCAUAGCUGGUUGGAGAGGAUGAUCAGCCACACUGGGACUGAGACACGGGCCAGACUCCUACGGGAGGCAGCAGUGGGGAAUCUUAGACAAUGGGGGCAACGCUGAUCUAGCCAUGUCGCGUGAGUGAUGAAGGCCUUAGGGUUGUAAAGCUCUUUCAGCUGGGAAGAUAAUGACGGUACCAGCAGAAGAAGUCCCGGCUAACUCCGUGCCAGCAGCCGCGGUAA
RNAcentral lists this ribosomal RNA (449 nucleotides) under uncultured bacterium. RNAcentral describes it as "partial 16S ribosomal RNA". It matches the Rfam family "Bacterial small subunit ribosomal RNA", at positions 30 to 523 of the family's 1533-position model. The record is from RNAcentral.